This 303-nucleotide ribosomal RNA is filed under the name uncultured bacterium. RNAcentral describes it as "partial 16S ribosomal RNA". It matches the Rfam family "Bacterial small subunit ribosomal RNA", at positions 507 to 809 of the family's 1533-position model. The record is from RNAcentral.
AGCAGCCGCCGCGGUAAUACGAGGGGGGCAAGCGUUGUUCGGAAUUAUUGGGCGUAAAGGGUGCGUAGGCGGUUUGACAAGUCUCAUGUGAAAUCUUCGGGCUCAACUCGAAGUCUGCAUGGGAAACUGUCGGGCUUGAGUAUGGGAGAGGUGAGUGGAAUUUCCGGUGUAGCGGUGAAAUGCGUAGAUAUCGGAAGGAACACCUGUGGCGAAAGCGGCUCACUGGACCAUAACUGACGCUGAGGCACGAAAGCUAGGGGAGCAAACAGGAUUAGAUACCCGUGUAGUCCCUGUCUCUUAUAU